CAGUAGCCGCGGGAAUACGAAGGGGGCUAGCGUUGUUCGGAUUUACUGGGCGUAAAGCGCACGUAGGCGGAUCGAUCAGUCAGGGGUGAAAUCCCAGAGCUCAACUCUGGAACUGCCUUUGAUACUGUCGAUCUGGAGUAUGGAAGAGGUGAGUGGAAUUCCGAGUGUAGAGGUGAAAUUCGUAGAUAUUCGGAGGAACACCAGUGGCGAAGGCGGCUCACUGGUCCAUUACUGACGCUGAGGUGCGAAAGCGUGGGGAGCAAACAGGAUUAGAGACCCGCGUAGUCCCUGUCUCUUAUAC
RNAcentral lists this ribosomal RNA (301 nucleotides) under uncultured bacterium. Its description in RNAcentral is "partial 16S ribosomal RNA". It matches the Rfam family "Bacterial small subunit ribosomal RNA", at positions 509 to 807 of the family's 1533-position model. The record is from RNAcentral.